This 505-nucleotide ribosomal RNA is filed under the name uncultured bacterium. RNAcentral's name for it is "partial 16S ribosomal RNA". It matches the Rfam family "Bacterial small subunit ribosomal RNA", at positions 28 to 507 of the family's 1533-position model. The record is from RNAcentral.
GACGAACGCUGGCGGCGUGCCUAAUACAUGCAAGUAGAACGCACAGUUUAUACCGUAGCUUGCUACACCAUAGACUGUGAGUUGCGAACGGGUGAGUAACGCGUAGGUAACCUGCCUGGUAGCGGGGGAUAACUAUUGGAAACGAUAGCUAAUACCGCAUAAUAUUAAUUAUUGCAUGAUAAUUGAUUGAAAGAUGCAACUGCAUCACUACCAGAUGGACCUGCGUUGUAUUAGCUAGUAGGUGAGGCAACGGCUCACCUAGGCGACGAUACAUAGCCGACCUGAGAGGGUGAUCGGCCACACUGGGACUGAGACACGGCCCAGACUCCUACGGGAGGCAGCAGUAGGGAAUCUUCGGCAAUGGACGAAAGUCUGACCGAGCAACGCCGCGUGAGUGAAGAAGGGUUUCGGAUCGUAAAGCUCUGUUGUAAGAGAAGAACGGGUGUGAGAGUGGAAAGUUCACACUGUGACGGUAUCUUACCAGAAAGGGACGGCUAACUACGUG